This 207-nucleotide ribosomal RNA is filed under the name uncultured bacterium. Its description in RNAcentral is "partial 16S ribosomal RNA". It matches the Rfam family "Bacterial small subunit ribosomal RNA", at positions 568 to 774 of the family's 1533-position model. The record is from RNAcentral.
CGCGUAGGUGGUUUUGUAAGUUGGGUGUGAAAUCCCCGGGCUCAACCUGGGAACUGCAUCCAAAACUGCAAGACUAGAGUACGAUAGAGGGGGGUAGAAUUUCAGGUGUAGCGGUGAAAUGCGUAGAGAUCUGAAGGAAUACCGGUGGCGAAGGCGGCCCCCUGGAUUGAUACUGACACUGAGGUGCGAAAGCGUGGGUAGCAAACA